This 253-nucleotide ribosomal RNA is filed under the name uncultured bacterium. RNAcentral's name for it is "partial 16S ribosomal RNA". It matches the Rfam family "Bacterial small subunit ribosomal RNA", at positions 524 to 776 of the family's 1533-position model. The record is from RNAcentral.
UACGUAGGGCGCAAGCGUUAUCCGGAAUUAUUGGGCGUAAAGAGCUCGUAGGCGGUUUGUCGCGUCUGCCGUGAAAGUCCGGGGCUCAACUCCGGUUCUGCAGUGGGUACGGGCAGACUAGAGUGCAGUAGGGGAGACUGGAAUUCCUGGUGUAGCGGUGAAAUGCGCAGAUAUCAGGAGGAACACCGGUGGCGAAGGCGGGUCUCUGGGCCGAUACUGACGCUGAGGAGCGAAAGCGUGGGGAGCGAACAGG